GGGAAGGUAGCUCAGCAGUAGAGUGCAUGCCUUGCAAACAUGAGGCUCUGGGUUCAAUUCCUCAGCACCA
Molecule: non-coding RNA, 70 nt
Organism: Dipodomys ordii (Ord's kangaroo rat)
Lineage: Eukaryota; Metazoa; Chordata; Mammalia; Rodentia; Heteromyidae
Source: Rfam